This 107-nucleotide small nucleolar RNA is filed under the name Ipomoea nil (Japanese morning glory). RNAcentral describes it as "Plant small nucleolar RNA R71". It matches the Rfam family "Plant small nucleolar RNA R71". Rfam says of the family: R71 is a member of the C/D box family of snoRNAs containing the C (UGAUGA) and D (CUGA) box motifs. Multiple nearly identical copies of this snoRNA have been identified in Arabidopsis, and it is thought to function as a 2'-O-ribose methylation guide for 18S ribosomal RNA. Lineage: Eukaryota; Viridiplantae; Streptophyta; Magnoliopsida; Solanales; Convolvulaceae. The record is from Rfam by way of RNAcentral.
AUUUGAUGGUGUGGGCAGCUUGCACAAAGCAUUUUGAAACGCUCCCAAUAUUCAUAUAAUGACUCUCCAUUGUUUUGCCUAAUACCAUAGAUUUCCUUUCUAAUGUU